CUGCAGUAGUACGACAUCCAGUAGCUUACGUAUUAUACAACGUCAAUAUAGUACGUGGCAACUAAUGAGCUAGCUCCCCGAGGAAGUUCCGAAGUCAGUGACCAGAUCCACCGAUCGACUAAAUUACUAGUAGAAGUACGUAUGCUUCUUUAAUAUUAUGAAAUCCCUAGAGACGAACACAAAAAGGAGAUGAGUUGGAGGAACGCAACGGUUGCAAUUGACAUCAUCGAGCACAAAACUUUAUCUUGAGUUGAGACAUGCAAUCGAUGUCAAGAAGCAGUAUAGGCCUAUUAGAACUUAUAAGUUGAAACACAUCCCAAAAGCAUGUACAAAUUGAAGCAAACAAGCAAAGUACGCAAUUUCAUUUUUCAAGGCCAGUAGACAUGUACUUGCUCGCAUGGUUCGAUGCUCAAAAGCAACCGUGGCUUUGCUCAUCGAUCUUCAGUAUAGCUUGCAAGACAUGCUUUCGAACUAACCAAAACAAAUAUAGCCACACACACGCACACUUGUAAGCUGUGGUUGCCAGCAGGCUUGACUGCUUGAGCUCAAGUUUCCGAUCCUACCUGUUGUGAAGAGCAUCGGGGCAGCUCGGAAUCCGCCGCUUGUCGUCGCCGAACCGGGCGGCAACGGAAGGCGACGAAAAGCCUCCGGCGCCGCCGCCUGCAGGUAUUGGCCUAGAGCCCAGGACGUGUGACCCUGCGACGGCGACGCUUGGACGGCGGGGCACCGGAACCGCAGCUGCUAGAAGAUUAACGCUGCCAUGGAGGCAUACCCAGAAAAGGCACAUGAUGAUGACAGCUACAGAGUUCCUUCUCGGCCUCCUAUUCGCCGCCGCUCGCAUUGCAUCGACGUCCGUGAUAUCUUCCCGUGCAGCUGCAGGCUGCAGCUAGCUGCAGGAAGAGAGAGAGAGAGAGACACACACAGGAGGACGAGAAGGAAAGGAAGGAUCGAGGAGGAAGAGGAAGAGGGCUCGUUACUCGUUAGCACGCCGCAGCACAGGUGAAGCCGUGAGGGUGGGUGAGCCAUCUGUUUCUCCGCACCGAAACAAAACAAUGCGCGUGAGCAGCGGGAAUCAAGGAGUAUUGCCUGAAACGUUCCACACGAAAAACUUUGCGCGGCAUGUUAUACUAGUACAAGCCAAUAGUAGUAUGAAAAUAUUAGGAAAAUGACUCGGUGUGUUACUGGUACUCGAAGAAGCGUUCAGAGUUUUCUUGGCGAGUCAAAAGCAUUUUAAGUUUGACAAUGCUGAU
RNAcentral lists this long non-coding RNA (1250 nucleotides) under Setaria italica (foxtail millet). RNAcentral describes it as "long non-coding RNA (SITA_LNC003475)". The record is from RNAcentral. Lineage: Eukaryota; Viridiplantae; Streptophyta; Magnoliopsida; Poales; Poaceae.